RNAcentral lists this ribosomal RNA (501 nucleotides) under uncultured bacterium. RNAcentral describes it as "bacterial SSU rRNA". It matches the Rfam family "Bacterial small subunit ribosomal RNA", at positions 29 to 523 of the family's 1533-position model. The record is from RNAcentral.
AACGAACGCUGGCGGCGCGCCUAAUACAUGCAAGUCGAGCGAGAAGACGUAGCAAUACGUUUGUAGAGCGGCGAACGGGUGAGGAAUACAUGGGUAACCUACCCUCGAGUGGGGAAUAACUAGCCGAAAGGUUAGCUAAUACCGCGUACGCUCCUUGGACUUCGGUUCAGGGAGGAAAGCGAUACCGUGGGUAUCGCGCUCUUGGAUGGGCUCAUGUCCUAUCAGCUUGUUGGNGAGGUAACGGCUCACCAAGGCUUCGACGGGUAGCUGGUCUGAGAGGACAAUCAGCCACACUGGCACUGCGACACGGGCCAGACUCCUACGGGAGGCAGCAGUAAGGAAUAUUGCGCAAUGGGCGAAAGCCUGACGCAGCGACGCCGCGUGGGGGAUGAAGGUCUUCGGAUUGUAAACCCCUUUCGGGAGGGAAGAUGGAACGAGCAAUCGUUCGGACGGUACCUCCAGAAGCAGCCACGGCUAACUUCGUGCCAGCCGCCGCCGUAA